CAAUACAGCUGAUAGCAACCACAUACAUAUUACUAAAACCCUACAUGUAUUUGUUGUUGCCUUUGCUCCAAACAUCACGUCAAAAUCAGCUGUUUGUUUUCAGGGUGAUUUGCUUGUGAAACGUACGCUGGAAAGUCACGAAAUAGAAAGUCGCCACAUUUCCCACAGUUUAUUGAAGAUUUAGUAUGUAGCUUAUGUAUGAAUUGGAUGUUCUUGUGGAUAGGAAAAAACUCGUCUACGUUUGCGGUAUUUCAAUUAUUAACAUAUAUUUCAGAAUUUGCCACGGGCAUGCAUAAGGUGAAAUUGACUGUAGAGAGUGAAGUUUGGACACGGAAAAGUUUAAAACAGAGAAACAUAACGCAAAGAAACUUCGAAACAAGGGCAAAAUUAAAGUCUCACUGCGUACUGAAAGUAAUGAUAUUGAUGGCUAUCAGAAAUCCACCUUGGCUACUAAUGACUAUGAUGACUUCAUACUAAAUACAGUUGAGAUGCACAUACCAUAUUGCAUAAAAAUGUUUGCUUGAUGUUUUUUGUGGAGAAUCGAUCGCUAUGAUUUACAUCUAAAACUGUACACUUCAAAAUUCUGGAUAUCAAAUGUUUAACAUGCUUGUAAAUUCCUUUUAUAUAAUUCAAC
RNA transcript from Anastrepha ludens (Mexican fruit fly), 634 nucleotides. RefSeq lists it as uncharacterized. NCBI's taxonomy places the organism in Eukaryota, Metazoa, Arthropoda, Insecta, Diptera, Tephritidae. The record is from RefSeq and is a predicted model, not a curated record. The transcript is spliced from 2 exons.